CUUUCUUCCCCUCUGGGCCGUUGGGGGUUAUCCUGGUCCCUGCUGGGCCACACGCCAAGGUCUCCCAUACAAACUGUGAGAUGCCACUUCGACAAACUGAGCGCCGAGCGGUGGCACACAAAAUGGCGGAUGCACCUGCGCCUGUGAAACAGGACCCAGAGCCACAUCAAGACGACCUUAUGGACCCAUUUAGCCACAUUGAAGAGCGUCUGGAAGCAGCUUUCAACCACUUUUGGGCAACUUUAAUGGACCGGAUGAAGCGGGCGCCCCCUGCAAAAUAACCACUGGUGAGAGAGCAGACACGCGGCAGAACAAGGCCUGAGAGACCCCUCAAAGGCAAACCAACCUCAAGGUCAGCAAACCGUAAAACCUUGCGCCUCCCUGGGUCUAGGAUCACCUAGGAAAUACCCCCAAUGCACUGUCCUAACAAGCAGAGAGGACCGAC
Non-coding RNA from Pelobates cultripes (western spadefoot toad), 445 nucleotides. The record is from the annotation of a GenBank genome assembly. NCBI's taxonomy places the organism in Eukaryota, Metazoa, Chordata, Amphibia, Anura, Pelobatidae.